RNAcentral lists this long non-coding RNA (473 nucleotides) under Oryctolagus cuniculus (rabbit). RNAcentral's name for it is "lncRNA (ENSOCUG00000034894.1)". Lineage: Eukaryota; Metazoa; Chordata; Mammalia; Lagomorpha; Leporidae. The record is from RNAcentral.
ACAGCUCCCCCCUUUCCUUUCUCCCAGCAGGAAAAACGGCGGGAAACGCACUCACACCCCGAAGCCCCGGCGGGGAGGCGCGGGGCGCGGCGCCCGCGCAGCGUGAAUAUUCAUCAGGGGUGGGGCCCGAACAAUGGCCGGGCCGGCGAGCGGCGCGGGCAGCGGCCCGGACACGACGCCCGGCGCCCAGGGCUCGGUGGUAGUUACCGCAUUGGCUGGGCAUCGCUGGGCUGCGCCGACAGAUCCCAAACAGCUCCUCUAAUUGCCUGGUGCAUGCGUUCCGUGGCCCUGCACCAGCCAAAAAAACGUUCAACAGCUCCUGUGAACCUAACAGCUGGUGAUCUCGAAUAUAAGUUCAUCAGAAUCGCUGAUUAUGGAAGCACUGAUUGGGCCUGAGGUUGUGCUGUUCCAGGGCUACAUUUUGAGGCAGCUGCCUCCCCAGCCUCCAUUUCCUCUUCUGUACACGGAUGAAG